UUUCAUGAGAGUUUGAUCCUGGCUCAGGACGAACGCUGGCGGCGUGCCUAAUACAUGCAAGUCGAACGAACCGCGACUAGGUGCUUGCACUUGGUCAAGGUGAGUGGCGAACGGGUGAGUAACACGUGGGUAACCUACCUCAUAGUGGGGGAUAACAGUCGGAAACGACUGCUAAUACCGCAUAGGACAUGGGAUCACAUGAUUCCGUGAGGAAAGGUGGCGCAAGCUAUCGCUAAGAGAUGGACCCGCGGUGCAUUAGCUAGUUGGUAGGGUAAGGGCCUACCAAGGCGAUGAUGCAUAGCCGACCUGAGAGGGUGAUCGGCCACAUUGGGACUGAGACACGGCCCAAACUCCUACGGGAGGCAGCAGUAGGGAAUCUUCCGCAAUGGACGCAAGUCUGACGGAGCAACGCCGCGUGAGUGAAGAAGGUCUUCGGAUCGUAAAGCUCUGUUGUUAG
RNAcentral lists this non-coding RNA (457 nucleotides) under Abiotrophia defectiva ATCC 49176. Its description in RNAcentral is "Bacterial small subunit ribosomal RNA". It matches the Rfam family "Bacterial small subunit ribosomal RNA", at positions 1 to 442 of the family's 1533-position model. Lineage: Bacteria; Bacillati; Bacillota; Bacilli; Lactobacillales; Aerococcaceae. The record is from Rfam by way of RNAcentral.